This 5563-nucleotide long non-coding RNA is filed under the name Zostera marina. RNAcentral's name for it is "long non-coding RNA (ZMAR_LNC001002)". The record is from RNAcentral. Lineage: Eukaryota; Viridiplantae; Streptophyta; Magnoliopsida; Alismatales; Zosteraceae.
GAAAAGAUCUUGAUAUGGCUGAAAGUCUUAGAGGGACUCUUGGUAGAAAAAACCCACUCAUAUUGAUACCUGUAUUUCCUACUACUUAAUAAAGUAUUUUGUAAAUUAUUAUAGUAGAGUAAUUUUCAGACGAGUCAUUUUUUUGGUGAGUCCAAAAAACAGUCAAGAUAAAUGAACGUUUUUGGGCUCACGUCAGAUAGACUUUUCUGAACUUUCUUCUAUUACAGUAUUAUGUCUAUUUGAAAUAUUUUGAAAAUCUCUGUAUGAUGAGAAAUUUAACUCCAUUGCAGUUACCUCUGCUCGUCCUAAUUAUCAUUUCCGAAUAGUGUCUUAGGAAAAGAUUGUCUCGUCCGUACUCCAUUCGUGACCCGAUCCGUUCUCACUCUUAUUGAAAUUUUAAAAGGAUCGAGUCUCACAUGAGAUUCAGACUCUGCCCAGUUAAAUAUCGGGUAUCCAAUUAUCGGAUCCAUGGGCAAAAAAUAAAUAAAUAUGUUGUUCAUCGGAUUUUAAAUGAUAUUUUAGUUUCUAUGCUAUCAUGUAAUAAAAAAUAAAUCUGUAAAGGUUUAUAUGCACAAAAUGGCAGCCCACAGAGGCCCAUUAACAGACGCAACUUGGAAAGAAACCCUAGGUCCAUUGCUAUAUAUAUAUUUAGUUGUUUUCUUAUUUUUCUUCGGUGGUUCUUUCUCAGCGUUUCUCAAUUCUUCUCAUGUCUGUAUAUCUCGAUUCGUUUCUUUAUUAGUUAGAUCUAAUCUAUAGUUUUGUUGUUGUUUAUUCCUAUGAUUUGCAUCUGUUUUAUAUAUGAAUGUUCUCCUCAAAUCUGUUUCGUACAUUUUUAUUUGGGGUGGAUUUGAAUGAUGCAUAGAUCUACGGUUCGAUUUAUCAACACAUUGUGAUAUCUUAAUUUGCAAUGCUGUCAAACGCUCGAUCUAUAUUCUUUCUUUGUUUGAUGAUGAUUAUUUUUACGAUGCAAUAUUUUAGUUCUGAUUAUUCGAUUUUGAUCUUUUUUUUUUAAUGUUUUAGAUGAUUUAUCGUUUGCUUUCGAUUGUCUGAUAUCUUUCUGUUCUAUCAAUUGCUUCUAAACUUGAAUUUGCAAUGCCAACAAAUAUUGGAUCUUUAUUUCUUCUUGUAAUUCGAGUUCUGAUCAUUUAAUCCCUGCGAUUAAUUUCGUUUGUUCUUAUUUUUGUCAAUUUUUUAUUGAUUUAUUUUGAUAUUACGCAACCUCCAAAAUAGGAGCUUAAUUAGAUUUAAACUUAAAAUCAUCCAUUAACAUUUAAUUAAUUACUAGAUUUAGAUAUUAUAAUGACUGAGAAUUAAAUUUAUAAUCGCCCUACCCGUUCAUCUUUUUACCAAUAUACCCAAACACAUAGUUAAUACCACCUAAUCCAUCAUCAACCCAACUACCCUAAUUAACACCUUUAUAGCUGUUAAUCCUCAACUAAGUUACAUUUAUAAAUACACCCUCACAAUACAUGCAAUACAAGUAUAUAAGUUCUGUUCUACUUUAAUCUGGUUUGGAUUCAAAUCUCUGUCUCAAUCUCAAUCUGGUUUCCUGGUCUAUUGAAUCUGGAUCUUCGAAUCUAUCUAGGCAUCUCCGAUCUUCGUGAUGCCAAUCUGUUCCGGCACUUCUUCGAUCUUCAAUCAUCAAUCUGUUCAUCAUCAGUCAUCAUAUCUAAAUAUUACAAACAACAAUGAUUUAAUCAUAUAAAUUAUUAUAAAUAAAUCCAUACUGGAAUUCUAACAGUCUAUUAGUUAAAUUUAAAUUAAUUUAUCUAUUUUCUGGUCAAACAAUUAUGGUUUCGUUUUAUAAUUAAAUUUUAUUUUUUACCCAUAUGUUGUUGAGAUUCAAUCUUGGCUCAUUGCUUAAGGUCUUAUUUCUUGGUUUGUUUUAUAAAUAAAAGUUUUGGAUUCUUAUCAGAAUUUUAUACCAACCAUCGAUUUCGCUGUACAUUUGUCAAAUUAAGUUUUUUUUUUAAUUCGUUAUUCGUUUAUAAGGCUAAGAUUAAUUUUUUUUGACAAAACUGGUUUAUUGAUAAUUGACCACUGAAUUAUUGAAUCGACAUUCUUAAUUGGCUUAUUAAUAUGCGGUAGGUGGUGAAAACUACCCACCUAUAAACAUGAUAUUUUUUUGGAUAAUUGUUAAAUCUAACCACCUAAGGUUGGUUAGGAGUUAAAAUUACCCACCUAUAAAUUUUAUAUGACCAUUUUACCCUUACUUUUUUUUUAAAUUUUCUUUCACAUGCCAUUGUCGGGCAGAAAAAGAACCCACCCAUCGAUCUCCUCCCACCUCCUAUACUUCUAUUCUAACGUCGUCCUUCCUCCUCCAUUUCAUAGAGCCUCUGGAACCAACCAGAGUAGGAAACCAAAAAUCUAUCGCUGCUGCAUUCCAAGCAUGUGAUUCCCAACAAAUUGAUCCCAGCUAACUGCUUAUCCGGCUAAAAAACAAAAAUCCGAAUUAUAUUAACAGAAACCAAAAGAAGAAAGCUGAAUUAAAUCGUAGAGAUUGACAAUAAUACCAUGGUACUAGACACCAUACUGAGUACGUGGUCGAUCCAAGUGUCGAAUGCAUCCUUCCAAUUUUUAGCAAGCUUAGGAUUAUUCUUCGAGCUUACAGAUUCUCUGAGUAGACCAUGACUUUUGACGGUGGACACUGUGGAUAAGAGAUGGGAGAAGUUGACGAUGAUCUUGAUCGAAGAUAGCCGGCCGACGAUGAACACAUAGAGGAAUAGAGGAAGAAAUCGAGUAUGAGAGAUGUCGAGAAGCUGGAAUGUUGGUUGGAGAAAGGCUGGAAUCGAUAGAUGGAUUUGAGUUAGGUUUUUGAGAAUUUGGGAAUUAGAAAUAACAUUUAGAUAUUUAAGAUUUAUGGGAUUUAAAAAUAGAAAGUUCUUUAAAAAUAAAUGGUUUAACGGGUAAACGGGCAUGAGUAUAACCCACACAAUUUACUAAUAAGGGGCAAAUUAGGAAAUUUUAUACACUAACACACCCUAACCACCUAACACCUAAGAUUGGUGGGUAGUUUUGACCACCAAUCCAUUUUAGAUGGUUAGUUUUAACAUUUUCCCAAUUUUUUUUUGUAUUUUUUUCUUUUAAACUGUUCACUGAUGUCACAUGUCACAUGUGAAUGUGAUGUGUAGUAGGUAAUGAAAUUAGGAUUGAGAACGUGAUAGGUUUCGGUGGUCCUGCCUCGAUAUCUGUCCUCUUUUAUCAGAAUGGGACGCUUUUCUUCCCAACCCGAUGAAUGAUGCAGACGGGGCGUAUUUGGUUUGGUUUUUUUGAAAUUAUAAAAAAUAAUAAUUAAAAAAGUAAAUCUAAAAUAAACGUUUAAAAAUAUAAUAAUUUUAUAUCUAAAUUCUAAUAUGUUAUAAUUUAUUUAAAAAAAUAUAUUUUUUAAAUCGAGACAACUUGUUUGGGUUUCCAAGUUCCAACUGUUUGAAGACCCAACAGGUCGUAAAUAUGAUUGGGGUAAAAAGGGCACGACAUAACGGGUCGUCUGGUUCUCACUCAAAAAUUAAAUGAUGGUAGUAUGUAUGACUUUUAAAUAAUAGAAUAAUAGUUGCCAAAUUUGAAUAUAAUAGAUGCCAAAUUUGAAUCUUCUGAAUAUAAUACAUAAAUGUCAGAAUUUAACAAAUGUUAUUAUAGUUGAUUUAAUCUAUAUUUUUCUGCGGUCACAGGCUCAUGGCAUUUCCUAUUAUAAAUAGUUGAUGAGAUUAGAACGAUAUUAUUCAAUUCCAAUUCAAAUUCCACAAUUGCAAUGGAGUUCAAAUACCCAUCAUUUCUAUUAUUUUUCUCUUUGUUCUUACCUUUGAUGAUUUUGUUGAUUCUUAUCAAAAAGAAAAACAACAAAAGAUUGCCACCAGGACCGACAAAGCUUCCUAUCAUUGGGAAUCUCCAUAACUUAAUUUUUGCAGGUGACGAUCAUCUUCCUCGUGUGUUUGGAGAGCUCGCAAAGAAGCAUGGCACGUUUAUGCAUUUAAAAUUCGGUCAAAUCUCUCAAGUUGUCGUCUCUUCAUCCGAUCUUGCAAAAGAGUUUCUUAAAACCCAUGACAUCAACUUUGCAACUCGACCAGAUAAAUUCACGUCCAGACUUAUCUUUUACAAUAAUCGUGAUGUUGCGUUAGCGCCAUACGGCGAAUACUGGAGACAGAUGAAAAAAAUCGUUACUCUCGAGCUUCUCAGUGCGAAAAAGGUGAAGUUUUUUGACAGGUUAAGGAGAGACGAAGUGGGCAAAAUGAUCAACAUUCUCACCAAAGCUGCAACUAAUGGCACAUCGGUUAAUCUAAGUGAAAUGUUUCUUGUUUUUAACAACAACAUUUCCACUCGUUCUAUAUUUGGUGACAACAUUCGACAUCAGAAAGAAUUUCUGAAUGCUAUGAAGGUAGUAGUUGUUCUUGCAACUAGUUCCAAUUUUAGCAAUUUCUUUCCUCUUAUGGAAAAUUUCAUCGCCUGGUUGACUGGUAUGAAGCUUAAGACAGAAAAGACGCACAAGACAAUCGACAAUAUAUUAAAUACAAUCAUUGAUGAACAUCUUGGUAAAAAAAAUAACGACAAUUCGAUGGAAGAUGGCGAAGAAGAUUUCUUAGAUAUUCUUCUCAAACUUCAGAAGGAAAAUCAAUUUGGUUUUGAAUUUAGCAUAAAUGAUUUGAAAGCCGUAUUAUUGGUAAAAAACAAUUUUUUCCUUUUAAUAUCCAAAUUAAUUUUGGAAAUAUUAAUAAGAACUCUACUAAUGAUUAUUCAAUUGUUAUUUACAGGACUUAUUCCCCGGAGGAACGGAGACAACAUCCACAACGCUAGAGUGGGUAAUGUCUGAGUUGGUGAAAAAUCCUACCACUUUGAAGAAAGUGACAUCAGAGGUCAGACAAAAAAUUUCGAUAACUGAUGCAAAAACAGAUGAUUGCGAUAAUAAUUUUAGCAACGAGAUGGGUUACAUGCAAAAUGUUAUCAAAGAAACCUUUCGACUCCAUCCACCAGUACCGCUUCUUCUUCCUCAUGAAUCUAGAGAGAAAUGUCAAAUAAAAGGUUACGAUAUAGAAGAGAAGACAAGCGUCAUUGUAAAUGUUUGGGCAAUUGGAAGAGAUCCUAACAAAUGGAAAGAUUCAGAAAUAUUCAAACCAGAAAGGUUUAUUGGAAAUCCAAUCAAUUUCAAAGGAUCACAUUUUGAUUUAAUUCCAUUUGGUUCUGGGCGGAGAAUAUGUCCUGGUAUGACAUUUGGUCUGGCUAAUGUGGAACUUUCGCUUGCUACCCUUUUAUACAAUUUCGAUUGGAAAAUACCAAAUGAUGUUCCUGGAAAAGAUCUUGAUAUGGCUGAAAGUCUUAGAGGGACUCUUGGUAGAAAAAACCCACUCAUAUUGGUACCUGUAUUUCCUACUACUUAAUAAGUUAUUAUAGUAGAGUAAUUUUCAGGUGAGUCCAAAAAACAAUCAAGAUAAAUGAGCGUUUUUGGGCUCACGUUAGAUAGACUUUCUUGAACUUUCUUCUAUUAAAGUAUUAUAUCUAUUUGAAAUAUUUUGAAAAUCUCUUUAUGAGAAGUUUAACUCCAUUGCAGACUGCACGUCUUAAUUAUCAUUUC